RNAcentral lists this ribosomal RNA (1550 nucleotides) under Klebsiella pneumoniae subsp. ozaenae. RNAcentral describes it as "bacterial SSU rRNA". It matches the Rfam family "Bacterial small subunit ribosomal RNA". The record is from RNAcentral. Lineage: Bacteria; Pseudomonadati; Pseudomonadota; Gammaproteobacteria; Enterobacterales; Enterobacteriaceae.
AAAUUGAAGAGUUUGAUCAUGGCUCAGAUUGAACGCUGGCGGCAGGCCUAACACAUGCAAGUCGAGCGGUAGCACAGAGAGCUUGCUCUCGGGUGACGAGCGGCGGACGGGUGAGUAAUGUCUGGGAAACUGCCUGAUGGAGGGGGAUAACUACUGGAAACGGUAGCUAAUACCGCAUAAUGUCGCAAGACCAAAGUGGGGGACCUUCGGGCCUCAUGCCAUCAGAUGUGCCCAGAUGGGAUUAGCUAGUAGGUGGGGUAACGGCUCACCUAGGCGACGAUCCCUAGCUGGUCUGAGAGGAUGACCAGCCACACUGGAACUGAGACACGGUCCAGACUCCUACGGGAGGCAGCAGUGGGGAAUAUUGCACAAUGGGCGCAAGCCUGAUGCAGCCAUGCCGCGUGUGUGAAGAAGGCCUUCGGGUUGUAAAGCACUUUCAGCGGGGAGGAAGGCGAUAAGGUUAAUAACCUUGUCGAUUGACGUUACCCGCAGAAGAAGCACCGGCUAACUCCGUGCCAGCAGCCGCGGUAAUACGGAGGGUGCAAGCGUUAAUCGGAAUUACUGGGCGUAAAGCGCACGCAGGCGGUCUGUCAAGUCGGAUGUGAAAUCCCCGGGCUCAACCUGGGAACUGCAUUCGAAACUGGCAGGCUAGAGUCUUGUAGAGGGGGGUAGAAUUCCAGGUGUAGCGGUGAAAUGCGUAGAGAUCUGGAGGAAUACCGGUGGCGAAGGCGGCCCCCUGGACAAAGACUGACGCUCAGGUGCGAAAGCGUGGGGAGCAAACAGGAUUAGAUACCCUGGUAGUCCACGCCGUAAACGAUGUCGAUUUGGAGGUUGUGCCCUUGAGGCGUGGCUUCCGGAGCUAACGCGUUAAAUCGACCGCCUGGGGAGUACGGCCGCAAGGUUAAAACUCAAAUGAAUUGACGGGGGCCCGCACAAGCGGUGGAGCAUGUGGUUUAAUUCGAUGCAACGCGAAGAACCUUACCUGGUCUUGACAUCCACAGAACUUUCCAGAGAUGGAUUGGUGCCUUCGGGAACUGUGAGACAGGUGCUGCAUGGCUGUCGUCAGCUCGUGUUGUGAAAUGUUGGGUUAAGUCCCGCAACGAGCGCAACCCUUAUCCUUUGUUGCCAGCGGUUCGGCCGGGAACUCAAAGGAGACUGCCAGUGAUAAACUAGAGGAAGGUGGGGAUGACGUCAAGUCAUCAUGGCCCUUACGACCAGGGCUACACACGUGCUACAAUGGCAUAUACAAAGAGAAGCGACCUCGCGAGAGCAAGCGGACCUCAUAAAGUAUGUCGUAGUCCGGAUUGGAGUCUGCAACUCGACUCCAUGAAGUCGGAAUCGCUAGUAAUCGUAGAUCAGAAUGCUACGGUGAAUACGUUCCCGGGCCUUGUACACACCGCCCGUCACACCAUGGGAGUGGGUUGCAAAAGAAGUAGGUAGCUUAACCUUCGGGAGGGCGCUUACCACUUUGUGAUUCAUGACUGGGGUGAAGUCGUAACAAGGUAACCGUAGGGGAACCUGCGGUUGGAUCACCUCCUUACCUUAAAGAA